AGAAAAUGCAGACAAAUGGAAAUUUGUGGUCUUGAUAUUAGUUCAAGUUUAAGGUUUGGUUCUUUCAUUCUUGUAUUUGGUGCCUGCUUUUCUUGUAGAGGUCACUUUCCACACGGCUUUUUAUUCCUCAUUCCUUCUGUUUAAAGUUCCUUUUUUUGGGAGUAUGGAAAUUUGGUGCAUAUAUAUGAAAAGUAUAUUCAUGAUAUUGAAUAGUCAUUUUUAUUGAGAAAGUAUAGGUUUAUCCCUUAUUAAGGUCCCCCCAAC
Long non-coding RNA from Solanum verrucosum, 264 nucleotides. RefSeq lists it as uncharacterized. The transcript has 2 exons. Lineage: Eukaryota; Viridiplantae; Streptophyta; Magnoliopsida; Solanales; Solanaceae. The record is from RefSeq and is a predicted model, not a curated record.